AAUAAUCUGCUAUGCUAUACGGAGUGUUGGGAAGACUUGGCAUAGAAGACUUGUUCAUCUACGGAAAUGAGAAUGUUCUCAGAGAUUUAUUCUUCACUUAUGAGUCAAUGAAAUAUGACAGCUGAUACACUAUAGGCUCUGCUCAAGGCUCAGUCUCUCUGUGCAAAACAAUUGGAUAUCGGUGGAUAGAGCUGGUUAGUUGAGCCAUCUGGUAUUUUACUUGAAGAACAUCCAGAUCUUGUUGGCCAAAGUCCAUGGUGGUGCAGACCAGAUUUCAAAACAUGGCUCAAGGAGGCAAGAAACCAUUCCCUCAAGUGUUUAUGAAGUGAAUCACAAAUUUAUUCAGCAUGACUUCUUACCCAGAGAAAUGAAGGCAGGAUGGCAAAAAGCUGAGUCUCCAAGCCUUCAACCUUAGGAUCUCCUUGGGAAAGGGUCACAAGGGCAAUUAUUUUCAGCUGUCCCUGCCUUGCUUCCGCUGGCCAUGGAAAUCUCCAGGCAGGAGGAAGGCAGCCUCUGCCUAGACCAUAGACUGGCCUAGACAGAGCUUGGAAAGUCGGGAUACAGUUUUCCUGAAGCUUCUUAAUUUCCCCCAUCCCUCCCUGAUUGAAAACACCACUUAUCCCAUUACAGCAUGUGGAAAGAGAGGGGAGAGAAGCAGGCGGAUCUGAACUCGGGAUAAAAAUGACUUUAUGGGGUUAUUAUUCUCAUCCAUAACAGAUGACCAUUUUCAUGUCAUUUAGCUGAUUCCCCUACAGGCUCACUUGGAGAAAUACAAAGUGCAGUCAUCAUGCUAUUUAUCUUGAGCCCCCCCCCCCCCCCCGACGAGACCCGUAUACCUCCAUGUAAUGACUGGAGAGCUGUCGCUUGAGUAUUUUCUUGGAAAUGUCUGGCCAUUUGCUAGAGACCAGUUACCCAUUAUUUCAUCGGCUGCAUGUGAAGAAUUCCCCUCUCUCACUUACACUGUGGUGACAGCUGCUUCUUGCCCGGCAAAGCUUCGGCAGGAGCUCCUAAGUACCCCCAGCCAUCUUGGAUUGGGAGCUCUCGGUGAAAUUUGAAGAUGACUCGUCAUUCAAAGGGCACAAAAGCACAACAGGUUUUGAAUGCAAGAAGAUGCUAGAGUAGCAAAAGCUUUGAGCAGGCUGCAGCACCCUAGUCGCUGACAUCAGCAAUCUGCUUAUUAUUAUAUUGCUAUGCAGCUGGAUCUCCGUCUGUGGCACUGCUGGCUAAGUAUCAUUUCCACUUUAUGUAAAGAACAUGGAUUCGGUGCUGUGUCUCCUGAGCUAAUGAGUCAGAUUUCGAAUGAGUCUCUUAGCCGUGCCUACAUAGGAACGAGGUGAGUCCAGGCUACGGACCAACUUCCAGGGACUUGGAUAAAAGAAAAAAAAAUAACUUGACUCACUCUCAGUGUAAUCUGGUCAGAAAAGAGCCAGAGAGUAAGUCAGAGAAUGGGGAACAGUGUAUGUUCUCAUGGGUUCGCACAAUGCACACCCUUUAGUGAUUUUCAGAACUGGAUUCCUGAGGAACUUCUAACAUGAGGCUAGAAAGGGGAAGAAGCAUGGGGCCUGUAAGUCCUGGGCUGUCCUCAGUGGAGUAUCGCAAAUUAAACCAAAGAAAUCCAAGGCUGCUUCAUCAAAAUAGGUUGAGGCUGUCUAAGGAAAAUCAUUAGCUCCUAACAAGUCACAUAAGUAUACGUGGACAGAAAGUAUCUAAUGCAAAUAUAGCUGUAGCACAGAGUGUUUACAUAAUAGGCCAUCAUCAACUUCCUCUUGAUUUUAUAAAUGAGGGAGGAAUCAUGACAAAUGCAUACUUUAUUUCUGUUGAUAACAGCAGGCCAUACAUUACCAUAGGGUACCUUUUGUUUUUCUGUUUCAGUAGGCAGGUACAAAUAAACGAGGAACAUGGGUAGUUCCCA
RNAcentral lists this long non-coding RNA (1912 nucleotides) under Mus spicilegus (steppe mouse). RNAcentral's name for it is "lncRNA (ENSMSIG00000030374.1)". The record is from RNAcentral. Lineage: Eukaryota; Metazoa; Chordata; Mammalia; Rodentia; Muridae.